AUACUGCUUUGCCUGGAGUGAAAACAUUUUUGAAAGAUUCUAGUGUAAUGUUUUCCUAUGUAAAAUUUCUUGACUGCAUCACUGAUAGGCAAGUUUUUCGUCAAAGAAAUUGAAGCCAGGAGUGCGACACUGAUGUUUUUAAUUUCAUAAGAACAUAAUUCUUUAAAAUGCCAUCAAAUAUUUAUGACUUUGUAAUGAGGGAGGACUAACAGUGAUAAUAUUUGCUACCACAGAGAAGUUCAUAUUAUUUCACUGAAAAGUGCUUGAAGGAGCUGCUGAAAUUAAAGACAAAUUAAGCAUUUCAUUUACAAAAAAGUUAACAUUUGUUGGAUAUCUAUUGUACUCUGCUUGGUCCUGGCAAUGAAAAGAUGAAUGACGUGGCCUCCAGUCCAGAGCCAUCCUCUGUCUAAUGGGGAAAACAGAGUGUGACCAUAUGAAGCAGUGGAAUCAUGUGACUAGGCAGGCAACACUCCUUGACCACCAACUCUGUUUCAGGCACUGAGAUGGAUGCCAGGAGUAUACAGUCAAGCCAGACACUGUUUCUGCCCUCAGGGGACUUAAAGUCACAUUGCAGACACAGUGUCGCAAAGCAGCGCAUCCAAGCGUGAGAACUGCUGUGACCAAGGUUGAAACAAGGUGCAUGUCGCAGUGUUGAUCAGAGAAGAGACUGAUAAUCUUUGCCUGAAAGAGGGAAGUGGACCAUCUUAGAAAAGGCUUCCUCGAAGAAAUGGUGAUUGAUCUAGUUCUUAAAGAAUCAGUAAGGCUUUGCCAAGAAGAUGGUAGAAGGAAAAACAUUCUAGAGAGAAGAAUUUUCUAGCCCCUCAUAAACUAUUUUUUCUUCACAUUCUUAUUUGCCACUGCUUCACAAGUUCUUGCUUAGCUAGACAAAUUCUAUUAGAUCAAGAUUUACAAAAUGUCUCUCUUCACCAUAUCUACAGUCUGAUUUGCCUUUGGAAAGGGCACAGAUUUAGAACUACAUUCUGUACCAACACUGGGCAAUUCAAAUGUUCAUGCAAGUUGGAGGCACCAGAUUCUUUAUUUCUGUGUCCUAGAAAGUGUGGCCUCAUAGGUAGUUGCGAGUGGUGACUUGAGUUUACAGCUUCGCUGGUCCUGUAUGCUAAUCAUUGCCUUUCACCCUGCCCUUCAUCUAAGUAGAUCUUUCCCCUGACCAUACCCAUGGCGACCAAGCUUACAGACAGAAUAUUAAGAUCCUCAGCCCCAGGGGCUUGUCACAACUGACUAGACAUAAUCCAGAUCACAACAACCCAUAGCUCAGUUGAGCCCAUCAGACUCUUUUUCUGAGAUUCUGAUGAUAAGUUGCUAUGCUUUGAGCACUUGGUAGUAAAGGUCUUGGGAUAAGAUAUCUAAACUUAGCUCUGCUAGUUGGCAGAGAUAAACUACCCAUCAGUACCAAAAUGCCAGUGGUCUAAGACGGAUACCUAUGGCCAGGUAGAGGCAGCAAAGGUGGCAUGGGAAUUCCUACCCAGGAUUUACUCGGCCAGGGGCCAGAUUGCUCUACCAAAAAGUAGGAGCUGCCUUGAAUAGUUAUGUACAUUCCCACUACAAAGUUAUUCACAUGGGGGGCUGAGAAAGAUUUUCCAGUGGACCAGGUGGAGAGGGAGUUUAUUUGAAGUCACCAUGGGAAUUUCACACAGUCCAACUGCGGCUAGCACCACUAGGCUUCCUAACUGCUGGGAGGAAACCUUCAGACAAGCUACUCUCUCUCCUUUUUCCAGCACCAUUUCUCUUUGCUGCAUUUUUAUUUUCCUUUUUUCUGAUUUUUUGGGGUAAUUAGGUUUGCUUUAAAUUUUUUUGUUUUUCAAUAAUGGAAGUAUUGGGGAUUGAACCCAGGACCUUGUGCAUGCUUGGCAAGCACUCUACCACUGAGCUAUAUCUGCUUCUCUCUCUCUUUGUCUUUAUUCUCCUUAAUGCAGCCAGUUUCCUUUCAUGAGGCUCUUAGUUUCUGUUUCUGAGUAACUUCAGUUGUCUUUUUAUUGUAUUAUUUAAUUAUUUCAUUGUGGUGGGGGGAGGUAAUCAGGUUUAUUUAUUUUUAGAGGAGGUGCUGGGGAUUGAACCCAUGUGCUCUGCCACAGAGCUAUACCCUCCCCACCGAGUAAGAUCAGUUCAACAUGAGCCCCUCCCUUGCUCCGGAGCCAUUUUGGCAUGGAUCUGAUGUUCCAGCUCCAGUAGCCACUAUUGCUUACUGAGUCAAACUCUUCUGUCACUUAGUCUGAACAUCUGUGCCCAAGGGUAUACCCCUCAGACAGUUGACAUGUUCGGUACCGAUGGGUAGAGUUUUUCUCUGCCAGCUAGCAGUCUGAGAGUUUAGAUAUCUUAUUCAGGACCCUUUACUACCAAGUGGUCAAAGCAUAACAUCUUAACCGCAGCUGGCAAGAUGGUCUAGAUAGUGUAAGAUUUAAAAGGCGUGGCUGGAGUGUUUGUAAAAAUAGGCCAGUUGGCAGAAGUCCUGCUGCUGGCACAGGGAAAACAAAGGCCAGAUUCUGCCAAGGAGUCGUCAUUGUGGGCAUGUCAGCAGCAUGUUCCAUCCAAGCUGCAACUAGUGUUGUAUCCUCUCGAGAGGAUUAGGCAAGCUUGUUUUGGUGGAGAGAAAGCAAGCAGGGCAGUCCAGGUGCGGUGGUCGAGAAAGGGGGCGAGGCGCGAGGUUAAAUGGAAUCUGAUACCGAUGACAUUCAAGAAAAAAGAAAGAGGCCAUCAGCCAGGGCAUGCUUGGAGUGGGUGGUUAUUUCAGUCGACAGCAUUUACUGAAAGAGGCCUGUGGUUUCAGAGUUGCUCAGAGCCACUGAACAGCAUUCCUGCCUCUGGACUGUAGAGCCUUCUGUAGCCAAAGGGAGUCUAGGACCAGUCCAGGGGCUUCAGGGCCAUUGCCCAAGAGGGAUGAGUGUGUCGUCUUCUGCACAGACUUGGAUUUUGAGAAGUCCAUGACCUCCACAGGGGCUCUGAUGGGUCACACCCCAGUGGUGCCAUGCCAGCCUGGCACCUCGGAGAAUAUUUCAUUCUACUGAAUAUCAAGGUCACGCUCUAUCGCAUAACCUUCAUUUCGUUUCUUUAUAGUACUUAUCUCCAUCUGGAAAUCUUAUUUAUUUGAUUACUUGCUUACCUUCUAUCUCCCUGCAGUAAGAUGUAAAUUCCUUUAGAACAGAAACAUUAAUCUUUUUUUUUCCAUUGUUGUGUUCUUAACACCUAGAACAAUGUUUGGCUGUUAGUAGGUUCUCAGUCAAUAUUUAUUGAAUAAAUAAAUAAGUCCAUGAACUUGAUGACAUGGUCAAGGGCCAAGGGCCUGGACAACAUUCCAAGUCCUGGUGAGUCCCCUGACAGACCUUGACUGAAAUGAAAUGUCUGCAUUUUUAAAUAUACUUAGAAAACCUGACUGGGUGUUAACAACUGAACUGAGCUCCCGGCCCAUCCACACCCAAAUUCUGUUGUCAACUGAUUUAGCAAAUUUUCUAAGAGGAAAAAAAAUGUGACCAUGCUCUUCUGGUAAGAAGAAUAUGUAUCUACUUGUUGCCAUUAGACAAGCCUUGAGCCACAGAUGUUUUCUCCUUUUCAGCCUGCUUCUGAGAUGACUCUCCAGCCUCCUCCCCCAAUCAGCCCCCAACUUUGCCUCUUUCUUCCCCAUAAACAAACGUCUCAGUUCUCACACGUAAUCGAACCUCUCAGGGGAGUGUCAAUGAGCGUAUUUUCAGGAAACAACUGAAAUUUCUCCAUGUUCUUUGCUUUCUGAACAGCAGCCACGUGGCUCAGUAAGUGUACAGCACGUGUUUACUUUAACAAAGAGCCUCCGGCUGAGUCAGCCUCCCUUCCUCCCGACUUCCUUUUCCAUUCUUAAAAGAUUGUUCGAAUGAGUCCAAACUUGGCCCAGCUCUUCUCGACAUGUAGUGGGGCAACAGUUAUUAGCGCAAACACUGCCUCUCUGGAAAUACGCAUUUCUUUAGAGAGUGUAAUCAAAAUGAAAACAGCAUUCUAUUAACAAAAGCAAGCCUGGAGUUUCUAAGAGGAUAUGGUGACUUUACACACAAUCUCUUUCUUUCAAAGCCGCAAGUUAGAGUGAAUUUUGUUAAGGGAUGGAAUGAAAUAAUCAGUGCUAAAAUUCCAGUAAUGAAAUUUUCAUUAGCGGCCAAGUCGAUCAACAGAUAUUUACUGAACACCUUCUACACAAAAUGAUCGGAGUUGGGCAAUCAAGGAACAUACACGUGUUCCAGGCUGGGAAGCUCUAUUUGGGAAGAUGGGCUGUUACCUCACAGGCGUCCCAAACUUAACACGAUCAGAACUGAACCACUCACGUCCCUACUAGGGCCCUUCUUAGUGUUCCUUAUUUUAGUAAGUGGUUCGCAAUCUAGUGGAAGAAAUAGAUAAAAGUCAAAAUGAAACAGUAAUUGUGCAUUAAUGGGGUUAGUUAGGUCCGAGGUAUUGUGUAUGUUUAAGGAGGGGCAUUUAAUGCAGCUAAGUGCAAUGGGACAUUGAAGUCAAUAUUCUUCAUUACCAGAGAAGAAUUUCUUGCUAUCAUUUAAAAACAGAUUCAACCAUACAUACUGGGUAACUCUUUUCAAAUGUAUUUUUUCCUUCUCUUAGAUGCUGUCUGUCUUAUGGGCUGAUAGAGUUAUACCCUCAAUGACGUGGGUCAUUCUUUCUGAUGUUUCUGCCUGGGGACUGAGUGCCUUUCUGACUCAUGUAUUUUCCUUACAAAACAGAAUUGAACUGUUAUCCAAAAGGGCCAGCUGCUUUGAAUUUUUCACAAAGAUUAAAAAGUUCCCUCUUCUUCAGCUCUGGCGAUGUCAGUAAUGACUAUUGUGGUGACUGUUCUGAGGCUCAUAUCAGUUUAAUUGCUUUGAUAAACUAACUUCACUUUGCAGUCCCCUUCGAACUGAAUAAUUAAUGAUAGAACUGUUAAAACUGAGGACCCAGUUUUAGAAUUUAAUGAGCUUUAUAAUUUGUCCUCUGUUUGAAAAGACGACUUUAGCUCUAUAAUAUUGGAAGAAUAUAUUCAGGAUUUCAAUAUGGAGAAUUAUUUACAAGCCAACUAAUUGUAAAACAUAUAAUGAUAAUGUAGUCUAGGUCUAAUUUUCCAGUGUAUUGGUGUGUAUCAUAUAUAAAUCCUAUUCAAUAUGAGGUCUCUGUAGUUCAGGGCAAAAUAUUUUCCCAUCAGACAGAUGAGAAGCUUCCUGAAGCAGUUAGGCAAAAAUGAUUACUAGUCUCUUGACAAAAUUAGUUUUUAUUUUUAUGGGUCUAUUCAUGCAUACAGAUGAAAUUUUUUUAAAAAUCCUUAAUGAAUUGCUAACGAAAUACUAUUGUGUAGUACUCAGUACUCAGUAGUACUCAGUAGUACUCAGUAGUACUGUGCUUGUGACGAGCAAGAUCUUCUGCCCCCCCAAGUGUCAACCCAUCCCCUACCAUUUUCAGUAUUUUAUCUUUAUUCUUAUGAAACUGAAAAGUUUUUUGGUCUUCAAAACCUUGAUACAUAGGAAGAUUUUGACAGGCA
Vicugna pacos (alpaca) is the source of this 5497-nucleotide non-coding RNA. The record is from RefSeq and is a predicted model, not a curated record. NCBI's taxonomy places the organism in Eukaryota, Metazoa, Chordata, Mammalia, Artiodactyla, Camelidae.